GGGGUAUAAGUUAACGUGUUAUGAGAUAAGUAUGGAAUAGAUAUGGGAUUAGACGAGAUCUCGUGUGUUGAGAUUCUCUUGUUACGUUUCGAGUAUAUAUGUAAAGCUUACGAUCUGAGUAAUACAACACACAUUCUCAACAUAUUCUUCCUCAGUUUACAAAAGCUUUGAUUAUAAUCACUAAAAGAGCUGGAUCACAACUCAUAAGUUUGCUCCUUUUGUUUUCCAAGGUGUAAGCCAUGGCCGGUGGAGCUCUUGCCUACGAA
This 266-nucleotide long non-coding RNA is filed under the name Brassica napus (rape). RNAcentral's name for it is "long non-coding RNA (BNAP_LNC016211)". Lineage: Eukaryota; Viridiplantae; Streptophyta; Magnoliopsida; Brassicales; Brassicaceae. The record is from RNAcentral.